RNAcentral lists this ribosomal RNA (1497 nucleotides) under uncultured Rhodocyclaceae bacterium. RNAcentral describes it as "partial 16S ribosomal RNA". Lineage: Bacteria; Pseudomonadati; Pseudomonadota; Betaproteobacteria; Rhodocyclales; Rhodocyclaceae. The record is from RNAcentral.
UACCUUGUUACGACUUCACCCCAGUCAUGAAUCCCACCGUGGUAAGCGCCCCCCUUGCGGUUAGACUACCUACUUCUGGUGGAACCCACUCCCAUGGUGUGACGGGCGGUGUGUACAAGACCCGGGAACGUAUUCACCGUGACAUGCUGAUCCACGAUUACUAGCGAUUCCGACUUCACGCAGUCGAGUUGCAGACUGCGAUCCGGACUACGAUCGGCUUUGUGGGAUUGGCUCCCCCUCGCGGGUUGGCGACCCUCUGUACCGACCAUUGUAUGACGUGUGAAGCCCUACCCAUAAGGGCCAUGAGGACUUGACGUCAUCCCCACCUUCCUCCGGUUUGUCACCGGCAGUCUCAUUAAAGUGCCCAACUGAAUGAUGGCAAUUAAUGACAAGGGUUGCGCUCGUUGCGGGACUUAACCCAACAUCUCACGACACGAGCUGACGACAGCCAUGCAGCACCUGUGUUCAGGUUCCCUUUCGGGCACUUCCACCUCUCAGCAGAAUUCCUGACAUGUCAAGGGUAGGUAAGGUUUUUCGCGUUGCAUCGAAUUAAUCCACAUCAUCCACCGCUUGUGCGGGUCCCCGUCAAUUCCUUUGAGUUUUAAUCUUGCGACCGUACUCCCCAGGCGGCGAACUUCACGCGUUAGCUGCGGUACUAAGAAAGUCUCCUUCCCCAACACCUAGUUCGCAUCGUUUAGGGCGUGGACUACCAGGGUAUCUAAUCCUGUUUGCUCCCCACGCUUUCGUGCAUGAGCGUCAGUGUUGACCCAGGGGGCUGCCUUCGCCAUCGGUGUUCCUCCACAUCUCUACGCAUUUCACUGCUACACGUGGAAUUCCACCCCCCUCUGCCACACUCGAGUUAUACAGUCACAAACGCAGUUCCCAGGUUAAGCCCGGGGAUUUCACAUCUGUCUUAUAUAACCGCCUGCGCACGCUUUACGCCCAGUAAUUCCGAUUAACGCUCGCACCCUACGUAUUACCGCGGCUGCUGGCACGUAGUUAGCCGGUGCUUCUUCUUCAGGUACCGUCAUUAGUAGCCCGUAUUAGGGACCACCGUUUCGUUCCUGCUGAAAGAGCUUUACAACCCGAAGGCCUUCUUCACUCACGCGGAAUGGCUGGAUCAGGGUUGCCCCCAUUGUCCAAAAUUCCCCACUGCUGCCUCCCGUAGGAGUCUGGACCGUGUCUCAGUUCCAGUGUGGCUGGUCGUCCUCUCAGACCAGCUACGGAUCGUCGCCUUGGUGAGCCGUUACCUCACCAACGAGCUGAUAUUGCGCAGGCCCCUCUUGAAGCGCCGAAGCUUUAGUCUUGCGACCACAUGCGGUAUUAACUCCGCUUUCGCGGAGUUAUCCCUCACUUCAAGGCAGGUACCAACGUGUUACUCACCCGUCUGCCGUGCCAGCACUCUAUCUACAUAAUAUGUACACAAAGUGCUGGCCACUCGACUUGCAUGUAUUAUACACACUGCCAGCGUUAAUCCUGAGCCAUGAUCAAACUCUU